GAUGAAGAACGUAGCGAAAUGCGAUAAGUAGUGUGAAUUGCAGAAUUCAGUGAAUCAUCGAAUCUUUGAACACACAUUGCGCCCUUUGGUAUUCCAAAGGGCAUGCCUGUUCGAGCGUCAUUUGUACCCUCAAGCUUUGCUUGGUGUUGGGCGUCUUGUCUCUAGCUUUGCUGGAGACUCGCCUUAAAGUAAUUGGCAGCCGGCCUACUGGUUUCGGAGCGCAGCACAAGUCGCACUCUCUAUCAGCAAAGGUCUAGCAUCCAUUAAGCCUUUUUUUCAACUUUUGACCUCGGAUCAGGUAGGGAUACCCGCUGAACUUAAGCAUAUCAAAAGCGGAGGA
RNAcentral lists this unclassified non-coding RNA (340 nucleotides) under soil metagenome. RNAcentral describes it as "partial contains 5.8S ribosomal RNA, internal transcribed spacer 2, and large subunit ribosomal RNA". The stretch from base 1 to 120 matches the Rfam family "5.8S ribosomal RNA", at positions 35 to 154 of the family's 154-position model. The record is from RNAcentral.